AUGGGACCAUCUAGUUGCAGGAAAACCACCUCAGGGCUCCCACUGACUCUACCUUAUGUUUUUCCAUUUAAUAUGUGGACCAAAAAAGCACAACUGGACCAAUUUAUAAAAUAAACACACUCCUUUACUACAACAAUUCAGGAAACUAAAUUUUCAAGAAUGGAAGGAAUGGUUAUAUGGUUAAAACCAAAUGCUAAUGUUGGAUACAUUUAUUAAUUCAAUAAAUGAAUAUUCAUUUAUCUAUUUACUGAG
RNAcentral lists this long non-coding RNA (252 nucleotides) under Pongo abelii (Sumatran orangutan). RNAcentral's name for it is "lincRNA". The record is from RNAcentral. Lineage: Eukaryota; Metazoa; Chordata; Mammalia; Primates; Hominidae.